Molecule: small nuclear RNA, 23 nt
Filed under: Arabidopsis thaliana (thale cress)
Lineage: Eukaryota; Viridiplantae; Streptophyta; Magnoliopsida; Brassicales; Brassicaceae
Description: snRNA_13141
Source: RNAcentral
CGAUCAACAGGCAAUCAGAACCU